AUGAGCUGCAAAAUGGAUGGAUGGCUUAGAUAAAACACACGCAGUUUUGUACAGUACGUUUUCGGAUUCUCUCUCUAUCUCUCCCAUUUCUCAUACUAAAUUCCCUACAUAAGAAGAAACCCUAGCAAAGGAAAAACCAUCACUUUUCCAUCUAAAAAAUGUCAGAUUCUCUCUCUUUCACCUUUGAUUUCUAGGGUUUUGCUGGGAUUGAUCGUCGAUUUGGCGAGAUUGAUGUUCCUUUCCUAGUAUAUUCUCAAUUUGUAGGGUUUUGAUGGCUGAUUUGGUAAAUUUGAUGUUUGUUUGUUCAUAUUUUGUUAAUUUCUAGGGUUUUGAUGGCAGAUUUGGAGGAUUUGAUGGUCAUUUAUUCAUGUUUUCUUGAUUUUUAGGGUUUUGAUGGCCGAUUUGCAGGUUUUGGUGUUAACUACAAUAUUCCCCGGUGGCCCUUUUAUGAUGGACUAGCCAAUGGAUCUAGUAGAGAGGUUUUGGUGUAUACUUUCCUUUUCGCAGAGUACUAGGUCCUUUAUUUUAUUCUUUAAUGGACGUUCUUCUCUUUUCACCAACAUGAAUUUGGUGGCUAGCUUUCCAUAUACAGAAAAAGAUCGGGUUGUAGAAUGCUUUAGAAGGAACUACCCCUAUUCUGAGAAAGUAAAAAGUUAAGGCACCUAUGGAUCUAAAGAAAGAGCUGGAAAGAUUAAUAUAUGAACAAAAGUAUGGGGAAGCAUUCACUUCAACUUCAGCCCAUGAAUUGUUGGAUGUUUAUUUAGUUUUUGGAUUAUGCAGAUUUUGCUUAGUUUUUCAAAGUUCAGAAUUGAGAAGAUGAGCAUGUGCUCUUUAAGUAUUCUCUCUUUUUUUAUGACAUCUCAUCAUUGUCUUUUUCAAUACUUUCAGUUCUUCAGUUUUGGGUUUGUUUUGGAUUUUUAGGCUAUUAAUUCCGAUUGCAUAAACCAAUGCAAUCAUUCCAUUUAGGUUUUCUUUCUUCUUCUUUUUCUUCACGAUGAUUGAUUGAUUUUAUUUGGCCGGAUGUUGAAAAGAGAACUGAUGACCUACAACUGGUUGUAGUUUACCUAACAUACAAUGCACUUUUACAAGCAUUUUGUGACAGGGUGAUUGUGUUACCCACAUAGAAAAAUACACUGAUUGGAGAAUCCUUGCUGAUAUUAGAUGAGUUCUCAAUGUUUAGAAGUUGCCUCUUUAUACUUUAACAAAAAACAUAUAUAUAAAAGGAAACUUGCUCAUGUAGCAGACUUCCUCCCAUGCACCGAAGCAGGUAGACCCACUUUUUCCAUUUAAACCUAGGUUGAGUUAUUGCAGAUCAAUUCGUUUGAGCAUCCAAAUGCACCUCCAUACGUAAAUUUAGAUACCAAUUCAUGCAUUAAUUUUGAUUUCUUUCCUCUCUAGCUUUUCUUGAUUUACUGAAGAAAGUGUUUCCUUCUUUUUUGUAAUUGAUUUGUAUGUAAAGAUUCUUCCUUGUGGGUCACAAAUAUCUGAUGUGGCUGAUGAGGAAGUCUGCAAGCUGUAUGAAAAGUUUAAGAAAAGGGAGUCAUGUUCGAGUUCGUGUUCUUAGCUUUAGGCAUCUAAAAGGAUUGGCAAUGGGUGUUUAAAAGGUAACCUAGUUUCUCUUCUGUAGUUUCUUUUCCACUAUAGAAUAUCAAAAAGUGAGUUUUUAGGUUGGAGAAGGGUGUACUACUUCAUGGGAUUGCUACUUACCAGUUUUACUUCUUUUCCAUUACUCUUACAAUUGAGUAAUGGAGAAGGAUUUGAAUAUUGUAGAUGGAGUGAGGCACUUAAUUUCACUGUCAAUGUGAUUGAAUUGUUUGAAAUUGCUGAGUGGGAGAGGGGAUAGUGGAGAGGAGAACCAGGUGAAUGGGCUCAAAGAGGCUGGUUUUUCUUUACUAAGCCAACUCAAUAAAAGAGCUCUAAAUGUUCAAUGACUAGUAAUCAUCCCAAACUAACAAACCAAAAUUUUAGUCACAUAACUACGGUCAUUCAAAAUCCAAACUAGUAAUAAUCUCAAAACAAAAGAACAUAAGACAAUCAUUGCAAAGCCGAUUUGCAAUAUUACAGGUCCAAUCACCCCUCUGUCUGCUCCCUAAGCCUUCUGAUUGUACCGUUUAUGUUGAUAUUAAUUGUUCAUUUGUUCUUUACUACCAAAAUAAGGUUCUUAUUUAGGAUCUACAGGAUGCUAACUAUCAUGCUUUAAUAGAUGUAGACAUCUUUUUUCCAUAUGCAGGCUAGUUAGUGCAUUCAAAGGGCCUGUUUUCACCCAUGUGGAUGUCAAGCCUGGUAUGGUGGUGAAUGGGCUAUUUUCACCCAUGUAUAUAUUACCAGUAGAUAUGCAAAUGAUGUAGCUGUUAUUCUACUUCCUUCAAAUAUUACUGUCUUUACUAUUGAUUUUUUUGGCUCCGACUUAUUUGAUAGCGAUUAUGUGAGCUUUGGUUGGUACGAGGUAUGGUGAUUUGUUCUCUUUCCGAAUGCCCAGCUUUCACUGCGUAGUGUUUAUUCCGCUCAAGUUUUUUAUUUGAUUCUUUAUCUACAUGUCAGAAAGAUGAUCUUAGAACUGUGGUGUCCUAUCUACGAAGCAAUCCAAAAUUUUCAUGCAUAGGUCUUUGGGGACGAUCUGUGGGUGUUGGCACAAGCACUAUCAGAAGUAAAAAUUGGUAUGGAUGUUGUUUGGAUCGAAUCACAGAAGUUGGAUUCUAUGAAGAUGAAUAAGCAUGAGGUUGAUAAUGUUUUCGGGUAUGAAUUUGACAAUCCCAAUUGGAAUCCAAGUUACAUGGUGCCUGAGCAUGUGGAAUGGGAGUAAAUGGCACUAUCUCUAUUCCCAAAAGCAUUUUCUUCUUCUUUUUUUCCAUGGGGGAAUUGAUACUCUGGCAGAGUGUGAUGGAUGAUAUGCAGGCACUCAGAAAUAACUUCAAAAUUGCAUGAGUGGCAGAGAAAGUCAAUUGAACUGUUAAAAAAUUAUCGGUACAAGAUUAGAUGAUCAUGAACCAAAAUUUAGCACUUGAUUAUCUGACCAUGGGAGGUGGACAUUUAUUGGACAAUUAAGAAAAAUAUUUGAUGCUCCUACUUCAACAAACAAGUGUCCACGAAUCAGAGGUUA
Magnolia sinica is the source of this 3100-nucleotide long non-coding RNA. RefSeq lists it as uncharacterized. Lineage: Eukaryota; Viridiplantae; Streptophyta; Magnoliopsida; Magnoliales; Magnoliaceae. The transcript has 4 exons. The record is from RefSeq and is a predicted model, not a curated record.